Molecule: ribosomal RNA, 856 nt
Filed under: uncultured bacterium
Lineage: Bacteria
Description: SSU rRNA
Rfam family: Bacterial small subunit ribosomal RNA
Source: RNAcentral
UACGAAGGGACCUAGCGUACUUCGUAGUUACUGGCCUUAAAGAGUUCGUAUGCGGUUGAAAAAGGUGGUGGUGAAAUCCCUCAGCUCAACUCUGGAACUGCCAUCAUAACUUUUCAGCUAGGGUAUGAUAAAGGAGAGCAGAAUUUCUAGUGAAUAGGUGAAAUUCGUAGAUAUUAGAAAGAAUACCAAUUGCGAAGGCAGCUUUCUGGAUCAUUACUGACACUGAGGAACGAAAGCAUGCGUAGCGAAGAGGAUUAGAUACCCUCGUAGUCCAUGCCGUAAACGAUGUGUGUUAGACGUUGGAAAUUUAUUUUCAGUGUCGCAGCGAAAGCGAUAAUCACACCGCCUGGGGAGUACGACCGCAAGGCUAAAACUCAAAUGAAUUGACGGGGAGCCGCACAAGUAGUGGAGCAUCUGGUUUAAUUCGAAGAUACGCGCAGAACCUUGCCAACACUUGCCAUGUUCGUCGCGCCUCUAAGAGAUUAGAGUUUUCGGUUCGGCCGGACGAAACACAGGUGCUGCAUGGCUGUCGUCAGCUCGUGUCGUGAGAUGCUGGGUUAAGUGCCGCAGCGAGCGCAACCCUCACUUUUAGUUCCCAUCAUUAAGUUGGGCCCUUUGAAAGAACUGCCCGUGAUAAGCUGGAGGAAGGUGGGGAUGACGUCAAGUCCUCAUGGCCCUUACGUUUUGGGCUUCCCCCGUGCUCCAAUGGUAUUUCCAACAGGAAGCAAGACUGCGAAGUUAAGCAAAUCCUUAAAAGAUACCUCAGUUCGGAUUGCACUCUGCAACUCGAGUGCAUGAAGCUGGAAUUGCUAGUAAUCGUGGAUCAGCGUGCCACGGUGAAUGCGUUUCCGGGUCU